This is a long non-coding RNA of Tupaia belangeri chinensis (Chinese tree shrew), 1865 nucleotides long. RefSeq lists it as uncharacterized. The record is from RefSeq and is a predicted model, not a curated record. Lineage: Eukaryota; Metazoa; Chordata; Mammalia; Scandentia; Tupaiidae. The transcript is spliced from 2 exons.
CCUGUCGGGAAGGCGGGGCGUGCCCGGCUUCCGCCCUUUCCCUCCGGGCAGAGCGGGGGCGGCCCGCUCCCCACGUCCUCGCCGUUCGCGGUGGCGCGGCCCGGCCCCGGCUCGUCCGGAGCACGGGGGAGUGGGUUAGAACACCCCGAGUCAGUAGGUGGGCGAGGAGCCCCCAAGACUUACUCUCAGGCACGGGGCGCUACGGGGACUUUAGAGGGAGCGGGCCCGACUCUGGGUCUGGGAAAGGGUGGGUGAGCAGAGGGCCCGCGAGUGUAGACAGAGAGGGUUCCGCAGGCCGGGAAGAGGCGAGGAGGAGGUCGGGGCAGACGCAGGUGCAGCCCAAGGGGGAGUUCCUUGCUGCGUGGCUUGGUGCUGCAGCUGGUGACCCGGUCUGCCUCAGGCUGCGGGUGUUUUCUGACGGAAUGGCAGUAGCCUGCUGGCCACUGAGAUUACAGAUGCCUCCCUCCCACUGCUCUACUGGCUACUCCAGCCGGUUCCAGUUGAACUAACUUGGCCGUGAGAAGGUGCUUUAUGUCACUACACCAAGGGAUCGGUGUCAGAGAGAGCGCUGCGGGAAGGCUUGGGCUUCGGAUGGGACCUGCCGGACUUGUGCAGUGGCCCUUGGCUUCACGUGAGGCCAGGUCCACCGUCCACCGGCCUUCUGCAGGGCUGUCCCCUCCUGCAGACCUUGCUUUGUGAGUCAGUAGCCGGGUGGGCGAUGCACUCUUGGCUCCUUUGCAACUCAGCCCCGGCUGCGUGGGGCUUCUGCACACUGAGCUGCGACUUGGUGCCUCUCCAGCGGGUUUCAAUAAGCAGUUUUACUGUGAAGUCGUUUGUACUAUGGAGGGGUCUUAUAUGGAAGAGUGGAAAUUUGCCUUGCAAAUGACUUUUCCUGUGCUGACCAUCUAAAAAAAGUAUUUGGCCCUUGGGGCCAGCAGGGGGCAUGGUGGUUAAGGCACUGGAUUUCCACAUGGCUGACAACUGUUGUAAUCCCAGACCUGGUGGCUUGAAAGUCAUGCAGGAGGCAUUGGCAUACGUGCCCAAAUCACAAGAAAAGAAUGGAGAAGGGAUUGCAGCGUGGCCAUCCCUGCCUGGGUGAUUGCUCCCUCCUUCUCUCCUGUCUCUGGUUCGCAGAACGGGAAUCCGGGUCCUGGUGCUCGUGCCGGGUGUUCUGUGUACCCUGAAAUGCCACCGUGUGCAUCUCCAUCAGGCUGAGGUGGAACUGGACUAAGGUGAGCAGAUUCUGCCUGCCCCCUAGCCGUGGCAGUGUCACCUUCUGCCUCCCAGUACCUUAGCGCUGAGGUCACGGCGGUGCCAGGAGGGCUGUAGCCGCGGAGCUAGGUGGUGGCACAUCCGGAGACAGACACAGGCCUCUGCACCUCUGCCCUUCCCUCACGUGGGGACUCCCGGGCGGGGACAAGUUCCCGUCAGAACUAGCGUCCUUCACUUGACCACCUGCCCUGUGCAGCCUGCGGGGACGCCAGGGGACGUUUGCCCCCGAGUUACCAGGAACGAGGCCCAGCCCCUCGGAGGAGCAGACGGUGGGGCACAGCCCUUUCAGUGGCCCCUUGUCUGCCUGGAGCAGCGGGGCAGAGCGACCUCUCGGAGCUGGGGACAAUGGCGCCGCCACGAGUGCUUGUGGGCUAAGCCAAGGACUCAAGGCAGGCUUAGUCCGGAGAGGAAGCUGACGAGGCCUUCACGCUGGGAGCGAGACGUGUCCUGGGCACACACCAGACUGCACUGCGGAGGCCAGGCCAGUAGAAACCAUUGACGUUUAUUGGCGGUCACAAUGCGUACACUGGAUGCAGCAAACACCCUUACAAGUCUAUCCGCAACCUGAUCGGGAGAAAGGGCUCACCACAGUC